RNAcentral lists this ribosomal RNA (580 nucleotides) under uncultured Glomus. RNAcentral describes it as "eukaryotic LSU rRNA". It matches the Rfam family "Eukaryotic large subunit ribosomal RNA", at positions 204 to 636 of the family's 3401-position model. The record is from RNAcentral. Lineage: Eukaryota; Fungi; Glomeromycota; Glomeromycetes; Glomerales; Glomeraceae.
CAUGGAGGGUGAGAAUCCCGCCCGGUUGAUCAUUUGCGUUUUACGAUACGCUUUCUAAGAGUCAAGUUGUUUGGGAUUGCAGCUUAAAAUGGGAGGUAAAUUUCUCCUAAGGCUAAAUAACGGCGAGAGACCGAUAGCGAACAAGUACCGUGAGGGAAAGAUGAAAAGAACUUUGAAAAGAGAGUUAAACAGUACGUGAAAUUGUUGAAAGGGAAACGAUUGAAGCCAGUCGUACCUUCGGGUAAUCAGCCUUUCGGGUGCGAUUCUGUGGAGUGUGAGGAGCUUAACACCUUCAUGCUUUGCAUAUUUGUGCUCUUGGGUGUACUUGCCCGUGUGGUUGGUUAACAUCAAUUUUGGUUAUCAUAAAAUGAUUGGAGGAAUGUAGCUUCGAUCUCGUAUUGAAGUGUUAUAGCCUUCGGUAGAUGUGAUGAUCGAGAUUGAGGAUUGCAACGGAUACCCUUCGGGGCUACCUGUCUGGUCUCUGAUCGUUGCUCUGGUGCCGAAAGCUUGCUUACGGUUAUCAAAGUCGAUGGUCAAUAGGUUAGAACGGGUUAAAUUCGUUAAGGAUGUUGACGUAAUG